This 497-nucleotide ribosomal RNA is filed under the name uncultured bacterium. RNAcentral's name for it is "partial 16S ribosomal RNA". It matches the Rfam family "Bacterial small subunit ribosomal RNA", at positions 28 to 507 of the family's 1533-position model. The record is from RNAcentral.
GAUGAACGCUGGCGGCGUGCCUAAUACAUGCAAGUCGAGCGAACAGACGAGGAGCUUGCUCCUUCGACGUUAGCGGCGGACGGGUGAGUAACACGUAGGUAACCUACCUAUAAGACUGGGAUAACUUCGGGAAACCGGAGCUAAUACCGGAUAAUAUUUCGAACCGCAUGGUUCGAUAGUGAAAGAUGGCUUUGCUAUCACUUAUAGAUGGACCUGCGCCGUAUUAGCUAGUUGGUAAGGUAACGGCUUACCAAGGCAACGAUACGUAGCCGACCUGAGAGGGGGAUCGGCCACACUGGAACUGAGCCACGGUCCAGCCUCCUACGGGAGGCAGCAGUAGGGAAUCUUCCGCAAUGGGCGAAAGCCUGACGGAGCAACGCCGCGUGAGUGAUGAAGGUCUUCGGAUCGUAAAACUCUGUUAUUAGGGAAGAACAAACGUGUAAGUAACUGUGCACGUCUUGACGGUACCUAAUCAGAAAGCCACGGCUAACUACGUG